UUUGAUUUUAGUGUUGAUUAUUUGGUGAUGUUUAUGUGUAGUUUUUUUUUGUGUUAUUGGAAGAGGGUGUUGGUUAUGAUUAGUGUAUUUUUUUGGUAAAAUUUUAUUAGUUUUUGUUUUGUUUUAUUUUGUAUUUUAAGGUUAAAUUUGUUUGUUAUUUUAGGUGUUUUUUGAUUUUUUAUUUUUGUAUUUUAGUUUUUUAUAAUGAAAAGGAUAUUUUUUUUGGGUGUUAGUUUUAAAAGGUUUUGUAGGUUUUUAUAGAAUUAUUUAAUUUUAGUUUUUUUG
RNAcentral lists this unclassified non-coding RNA (285 nucleotides) under Hevea brasiliensis (rubber tree). Lineage: Eukaryota; Viridiplantae; Streptophyta; Magnoliopsida; Malpighiales; Euphorbiaceae. The record is from RNAcentral.